This 426-nucleotide ribosomal RNA is filed under the name uncultured bacterium. Its description in RNAcentral is "partial 16S ribosomal RNA". It matches the Rfam family "Bacterial small subunit ribosomal RNA", at positions 354 to 796 of the family's 1533-position model. The record is from RNAcentral.
GUGGGGAAUCUUGCGCAAUGGGCGAAAGCCUGACGCAGCAACGCCGCGUGGGGGAUGAAGGCUCUCGGGUUGUAAACCCCUUUCAGCAGGGACGAAUCAAGACGGUACCUGCAGAAGAAGCCCCGGCUAACUACGUGCCAGCAGCCGCGGUAACAUGUAGGGGGCAAGCGUUGUCCGGAGUUAUUGGGCGUAAAGAGCUCGUAGGUGGCUGAGUAAGUCGGAUGGCAAAUCACCAGGCUCGACCUGGGAUCCCAUCCGAUACGGCUCUGGCUAGAGUCCGGUAGGGGAGCGUGGAAUUCCUGGGGUAGCGGUGAAAUGCGCAGAUUGCAGGAGGAACACCAGCGGCGAAGGCGGCGCUCUGGGCCGGUACUGACACUGAGGAGCGAAAGCGUGGGUAGCAAACAGGAUUAGAUACCCGAGUAGUCC